This 854-nucleotide long non-coding RNA is filed under the name Marmota monax (woodchuck). Lineage: Eukaryota; Metazoa; Chordata; Mammalia; Rodentia; Sciuridae. The record is from RNAcentral.
AGCUGAUAUAUGGUUGAUCUUUGGAAUCCCUUCUAGCUUUAAAACUGUGAUUCUUUGAUGUGAUUCCCUUUUGGGGAGGGGCAGUUUCCCAAGUCAACUGGAAAUGGUUUGGCCUAUUGCCUAGUUAAUGUCACCUGGAGCUUGGGGUGGGAACAGGGAGUCAUUUAGCUAGCUACUCUAAAUAUGCUAGGAGGAACCUGUCCCCCAACUCCACCUCUGCAGAACCCUUCCUUUCUGACUUCUUUUUUCCAGCCCUCCAAUAUCAUUGUGACUCCUUUUAGGUAAGAUUAUGAGCUUCCAAAUUCCUCUGCCCUUGACUCUCAUUGACCAGUGAUUAUUGCCCAAGCCAGUACUGCACCAGACAGGCUGGCACUCCACUGAUCUCUUCAGGAUGUCUGUGAGCCUGGGCUGAAGGUUAGUCACAAUCCUCAAUGCUCAAGGAGACCCCAGGGGCCCUGCAGCUGCUCCCAGCUGUCUGCCUGAACAAUGCAGAUCCUGUCAGGUCUCCUGUUGAGCCUUCCUUCAUGGGGUAUUCAGAUUGCAGUAUUAAGUGGAGGCAUCUCAGCUGCUUCCUGUUUCUUGGGUCUCAGCAAAGAUUCCUAAACAAAGACAAUCAGCCCAGUUCUGCAUCUGACAAGAGCCCCCAGCAAUGGGGGAUGGGGGGAUGAAAGACUUUCACCAUCAUCUCAGAGCCCAAAGUCAAACUUCUCCAGUAGGAAGGGACCCCAAGGACCAAGGGCUCCAGGUCUCUGCUUCCAGUCAUACCAACCAGGCGUGAGGAUGGGAUUACAGCCCAGUUUUCAGAAAUGUAUUGGAAAGUGCCUGGUGUGGUGGCACACACCUGUAACCCCAAC